RNAcentral lists this ribosomal RNA (492 nucleotides) under uncultured bacterium. RNAcentral describes it as "partial 16S ribosomal RNA". It matches the Rfam family "Bacterial small subunit ribosomal RNA", at positions 29 to 507 of the family's 1533-position model. The record is from RNAcentral.
AGUGAACGCUGGCGGUAGGCCUAACACAUGCAAGUCGAACGGCAGCACAGUAAGAGCUUGCUCUUACGGGUGGCGAGUGGCGGACGGGGGUGGAAUACAUCGUAAUCUAUUUUUUCGUGGGGGAUAACGUAGGGAAACUUACGCUAAUACCGCAUACGACCUACGGGUGAAAGCAGGGGAUCUUCGUACCUUGCUCGAUCGAAUGAGCCGAUGUCGGAUUAGCUAGUUGGCGGGGUAAAGGCCCACCAAGGCGACGAUCCGUAGCUGGUCUGAGAGGGUGAUCAGCCACCCUGGAACUGAGACACGGUACAGACUCUGACGGGAGGCAGCAGUGGGGAAUAUUGGACAAUGGGGGAAAGCCUGAUCCAGCCAUACCGCGUGGGUGAAGAAGGACUUCGGGUUGUAAAGCCCUUUUGUUGGGAAAGAAAAGCAGCAGGUUAAUAACCCGCUGUUCUGACGGUACCCAAAGAAUAAGCACCGGCUAACUUCGUG